Molecule: ribosomal RNA, 1372 nt
Filed under: uncultured bacterium
Lineage: Bacteria
Description: bacterial SSU rRNA
Rfam family: Bacterial small subunit ribosomal RNA
Source: RNAcentral
GAUGAACGCUGGCGGCGUGCCUAAUACAUGCAAGUCGAGCGAACGGACGAGAAGCUUGCUUCUCUGAUGUUAGCGGCGGACGGGUGAGUAACACGUGGAUAACCUACCUAUAAGACUGGGAUAACUUCGGGAAACCGGAGCUAAUACCGGAUAAUAUUUUGAACCGCAUGGUUCAAAAGUGAAAGACGGUCUUGCCGUCACUUAUAGAUGGAUCCGCGCUGCAUUAGCUAGUUGGUAAGGUAACGGCUUACCAAGGCAACGAUGCAUAGCCGACCUGAGAGGGUGAUCGGCCACACUGGAACUGAGACACGGUCCAGACUCCUACGGGAGGCAGCAGUAGGGAAUCUUCCGCAAUGGGCGAAAGCCUGACGGAGCAACGCCGCGUGAGUGAUGAAGGUCUUCGGAUCGUAAAACUCUGUUAUUAGGGAAGAACAUAUGUGUAAGUAACUGUGCACAUCUUGACGGUACCUAAUCAGAAAGCCACGGCUAACUACGUGCCAGCAGCCGCGGUAAUACGUAGGUGGCAAGCGUUAUCCGGAAUUAUUGGGCGUAAAGCGCGCGUAGGCGGUUUUUUAAGUCUGAUGUGAAAGCCCACGGCUCAACCGUGGAGGGUCAUUGGAAACUGGAAAACUUGAGUGCAGAAGAGGAAAGUGGAAUUCCAUGUGUAGCGGUGAAAUGCGCAGAGAUAUGGAGGAACACCAGUGGCGAAGGCGACUUUCUGGUCUGUAACUGACGCUGAUGUGCGAAAGCGUGGGGAUCAAACAGGAUUAGAUACCCUGGUAGUCCACGCCGUAAACGAUGAGUGCUAAGUGUUAGGGGGUUUCCGCCCCUUAGUGCUGCAGCUAACGCAUUAAGCACUCCGCCUGGGGAGUACGACCGCAAGGUUGAAACUCAAAGGAAUUGACGGGGACCCGCACAAGCGGUGGAGCAUGUGGUUUAAUUCGAAGCAACGCGAAGAACCUUACCAAAUCUUGACAUCCUUUGACAACUCUAGAGAUAGAGCCUUCCCCUUCGGGGGACAAAGUGACAGGUGGUGCAUGGUUGUCGUCAGCUCGUGUCGUGAGAUGUUGGGUUAAGUCCCGCAACGAGCGCAACCCUUAAGCUUAGUUGCCAUCAUUAAGUUGGGCACUCUAAGUUGACUGCCGGUGACAAACCGGAGGAAGGUGGGGAUGACGUCAAAUCAUCAUGCCCCUUAUGAUUUGGGCUACACACGUGCUACAAUGGACAAUACAAAGGGCAGCGAAACCGCGAGGUCAAGCAAAUCCCAUAAAGUUGUUCUCAGUUCGGAUUGUAGUCUGCAACUCGACUACAUGAAGCUGGAAUCGCUAGUAAUCGUAGAUCAGCAUGCUACGGUGAAUACGUUCCCGGGUCU